GCCCGGGUGGCGGAAUUGGUAGACGCGAUGGACUUAAAAUCCAUUACUCGCAAGGGUGUGGGGGUUCGAGUCCCCCCUCGGGCA
Molecule: transfer RNA, 84 nt
Filed under: Candidatus Actinomarinales bacterium
Lineage: Bacteria; Bacillati; Actinomycetota; Actinomycetes; Candidatus Actinomarinales
Also listed under: 1 other name
Description: tRNA-Leu
Rfam family: tRNA
About the family: Transfer RNA (tRNA) molecules are approximately 80 nucleotides in length. Their secondary structure includes four short double-helical elements and three loops (D, anti-codon, and T loops).
Source: RNAcentral